CUUAAAGGAAUUGACGGGGCCCGCACAAGCGGUGGAGCAUGUGGUUAAUUCGACGCAACGCGAAGAACCUUACCAGGGCUUGACAUCCCCUGACCGCGUAUGAAGUACGUUUUCACCCUCGGGUGACAGGGAGACAGGUGGUGCAUGGUUGUCGUCAGCUCGUGUCGUGAGAUGUUGGGUUAAGUCCCGCAACGAGCGCAACCCUUGUCAUUAGUUGCCAGCAGUUCGGCUGGGCACUCUAGUGAGACUGCCGGGGACAACUCGGAGGAAGUGGGGAUGACGUCAAAUCAUCAUGCCCCUUAUGUUCUGGGCUACACACGUGCUACAAUGGCUGGUACAAAGAGAAGCAAGACGGUGACGUGGAGCAAAUCUCAAAAACCAGUCCCAGUUCGGAUUGUAGGCUGCAACUCGCCUACAUGAAGUUGGAGUUGCUAGUAAUCGCGAAUCAGAAUGUCGCGGUGAAUGCGUUCCCGGGUCUU
This 479-nucleotide ribosomal RNA is filed under the name uncultured Eubacteriales bacterium. RNAcentral's name for it is "bacterial SSU rRNA". It matches the Rfam family "Bacterial small subunit ribosomal RNA", at positions 900 to 1382 of the family's 1533-position model. The record is from RNAcentral. Lineage: Bacteria; Bacillati; Bacillota; Clostridia; Eubacteriales.